CUACAAUAGUGAAGGAUGCUAGACUUAAUAUUCAAUUGAGCAGAUUUAAUUUAGAUCUCAUCUACUUAGUCAUAUACAUUAAAUGUAAUGACUAAACUAGUUUAGGUCAACCCAUCUCAUGUCUAACCCACCUAGCUGGCAUGGGUGAACACAAAUCACUAAUCAACCAGACUCAAUCCAUAAUCUACCAAAUGGCUAGGUAAGUG
Molecule: long non-coding RNA, 206 nt
Filed under: Elaeis guineensis (African oil palm)
Lineage: Eukaryota; Viridiplantae; Streptophyta; Magnoliopsida; Arecales; Arecaceae
Description: long non-coding RNA (EGUI_LNC058855)
Source: RNAcentral